This 253-nucleotide ribosomal RNA is filed under the name uncultured bacterium. Its description in RNAcentral is "partial 16S ribosomal RNA". It matches the Rfam family "Bacterial small subunit ribosomal RNA", at positions 524 to 776 of the family's 1533-position model. The record is from RNAcentral.
GACGUAGGGGGCAAGCGGUGUCCGGAAUCAUUGGGCGUAAAGCGCUCGUAGGCGGCCAACUAAGUCGGAUGUGAAAUCCCCAGGCUUAACUUGGGAACUGCAUCCGAUACUGGAUGGCUUGAAUCCGGGAGAGGGAUGCGGAAUUCCAGGUGUAGCGGUGAAAUGCGUAGAUAUCUGGAGGAACACCGGUGGCGAAGGCGGCAUCCUGGACCGGCAUUGACGCUGAUGAGCGAAAGCCAGGGGAGCAAACGGG